This 223-nucleotide ribosomal RNA is filed under the name uncultured bacterium. RNAcentral describes it as "partial 16S ribosomal RNA". It matches the Rfam family "Bacterial small subunit ribosomal RNA", at positions 524 to 737 of the family's 1533-position model. The record is from RNAcentral.
UACGGAGGGGUGCGAGCGUUGUCCGGAAUCAUUGGGCGUAAAGGGCGCGUAGGUGGCACGAUCAGCGUGGCGGUGAAAGGCUCGGGGACUCAACCCCGGGUCGGCCGUGCGAACUAUCGAGCUGGGAGCACUGUAGGAGGCAGGCGGAAUUCCGGGUGUAGCGGAUGGAAUGCGUAGAGAUCCGGAAGAACACCGGUGGGCGAAGGCGGCCUGCGUGGGCAGU